GUGCGGGUGUGUUGCCGUGGGUUCCUGCCAGCGGCCCAGUGAGGGAACUCCUGUCAGGAGCCAAGUCACCAGCACCUGGCAGGCUUUGUCCCUGCGGGAAGAGAGAGAAAGAGGAGGUGUUCUCAUCUGGCAUUCACGUCCCCUGGUCCCAGAAAAAAAGUCAAACACAAAUGUUGCUUGAGGUACGUAAAUAAGAGAGAAGAUCCUUUCUGCUUGCUGUUCCAAGGAGAGAAAGCCCAUGAUCUUGGGCAAAUGCAUAUAGCUGGCAUGAGGUUAUUGCAGAGUGAACUCCUGAGAAUGCCUUUCCAGUGGGGACACAUCCCAGUCCGAAUGGCCUCGGAAAGCAGCCCUUCUACAGACUUCUCACUGAAUAUAUAAACCUGAAUUUCAGGAUAGAAUUGUGUUAUGAAAACAGCUAGUAUUAGAUAACACUGUCUGCUGAAGAUUCUAUCCACACGCAAUCUUAAAUUGAAGGAAAACCUUGAAGUCAAGAACUAUGUGACCUUGACCAAGGGCCUUGUUUCUUCAUCUGUAAAAGAGCAUAAUUAUAGUAUCUAUUUCACAUGAUUGUUGUGAAGAUGACAAGGCAUAAUGCAUAUAUCAACAAGCUGAAUCUGAAAUUUGGAAAAGUGAAAGAACUAGAUUAGUCAAAAGUUUCUGUAAAAUAAGAGCUAAGUUGGAAGACUUGCACUACCCAAUAUCACAACUUAUUCAAAAGCUACAAGAUGGUGGCAUUGGUGAAAGGAUAGAACAUAGACCAAUGCAACAGAAGAGUCCAUAAAUAGACUCAUACAAACAUAUUCAAUGCCUUUUAAAUAAAGUUGCAAAGUUGG
This is a non-coding RNA of Heterocephalus glaber (naked mole-rat), 833 nucleotides long. NCBI's taxonomy places the organism in Eukaryota, Metazoa, Chordata, Mammalia, Rodentia, Bathyergidae. The record is from RefSeq and is a predicted model, not a curated record.